GCCGCGGUAAUUCCAGCUCCAAUAGCGUAUACUAAAGUUGUUGCGGUUAAAAAGCUCGUAGUUGGAUCUUGGAAUGUGUUCAAGCGGGUCAGCUUCUGGCUGUGCGCUGCUUGACGUGUUCUUCUAUUUGGUUUUGGUGCGGUGCGCUUAACUGCGUGUCGCUCCCGGCCGAAACGUUUACCUUGAAAAAAUUAGAGUGUUCAAAGCAGACCUGUUUGAGUCUGAAUAUUCGUGCAUGGAAUAAUGAAAUAUGAAUUCGGUUCUAUUUUGUUGGUUUUCGGAACUCGAGUUAAUGAUCAAGAGGGACAGACGGGGGCAUUCGUACUCUGCCGUUAGAGGUGAAAUUCUUGGAUCGGCGGAAGGCGCGCAACUGCGAAAGCAUUUGCCAAGAAUGUUUUCUUUAAUCAAGAACGAUAGUCGGAGGUUCGAAGACGAUCAGAUACCGUCCUAGUUUCGACUGUAAACUAUGCCAGCUAACGAUCAGACAGAGUUCUCUACGACUUGUCUGGCAGUUUCCGGGAAACCAAAGCGUUUGGGUUCCGGGGGAAGUAUGGUUGCAAAGCUGAAACUUAAAGGAAUUGACGGAAGGGCACCACCAGGAGUGGAGCCUGCGGCUUAAUUUGACUCAACACGGGGAAACUCACCCGGCCCGGACACAGUGAGGAUUGACAGAUUGAGAGUUCUUUCUUGAUUCUGUGGGUGGUGGUGCAUGGCCGUUCUUAGUUGGUGGAGCGAUUUGUCUGGUUAAUUCCGAUAACGAACGAGACUCUGGCAUGUUAAAUAGUCGCGGAAGUGCGUAUGCACUUGCCGAAUUGACUUCUUAGAGGGACUAGUGAUUUUAAUUCACACGAGAUUGAGCAAUAACAGGUCUG
This 872-nucleotide ribosomal RNA is filed under the name uncultured eukaryote. RNAcentral describes it as "SSU rRNA". It matches the Rfam family "Eukaryotic small subunit ribosomal RNA", at positions 573 to 1464 of the family's 1831-position model. The record is from RNAcentral.